GCGGCCCGUGGGUCGCGGGGCCCCGGCCUGUGCCCGGCCCGGUACCGCGACCCCGGGAUCGAGGCCGGUUCGGCGCCGCUCAGCCGCC
This 88-nucleotide transfer RNA is filed under the name Actinoplanes siamensis. RNAcentral's name for it is "tRNA-Ala". The record is from RNAcentral. Lineage: Bacteria; Bacillati; Actinomycetota; Actinomycetes; Micromonosporales; Micromonosporaceae.